AAACAAAAGCGUAGCUUUUACUUUAGAAUUACAGCCACGAGAUGCUGAUAAAAAUUCACUGAUUCACACAAACAAUAAAAAGAAACGGUUGGAUGCAAACAGUGGCUUUUAUCUCUGUAGAAAAGUAGCAGCAGACAAAGCGGGCAGAAAAGAAAGCAGAGAGAGAAUUUAGGAACCUGAUAUUAAGAAUUGCAGGUCCACCUUUAGGCUCCGAUUUUCCCCAAUUUGUGAUUCAUGAUCCUUCUGCCUGAGGGCUCCCUCCCUACUGGGGGACAAUUCUCUGCCAACCCUCCAGGUCCCUCCUGCCUGGCUACGACCCAACCAAACCCAUGGGCAAUGCUGGGACCCACAGGGAGGAAGUAGGGGCGGCACAUGUGUGCCCUGGGCUCUGAAGCUGCCCCCACAGGCCCUGGAAUCCUCCCGCGUCCCAACACAGCCCCCUCUUCAGUCAGGGCUCCCAGAGUCCCCAUUCCUAGGCCUGGGGGGCUGCUUUGGGAGCCCAACAUGAGCGACCGGGCCUCUGACCUGCACCAGGAGACACGGGGAGGUUUCGCCUCCAAACCCAGCAGGAAAUAGAAACUUACAAGAAAUACAUGCUUCUGAGAAACAGAAACUACACGGGGAAAAAAGAACCGCUGAGCGCCCUCCCAGCAUCUGAAUACCACAGCCGCCCCUGACUCCACACGGAAAACAACACUUCUCAACCCUUCACUCACUACUUCCUUCUCCAAAGCCAGAAGAUGCUCAAAGAGGAGCACGAAGUGGAGGUGCUGGGGGGGCCCCAGAGCAGCACGCUCCCCACGUCCACCGUGAUCCACAUCCGAAGUGAGUCCUCCGUGCCAGACCAUGUCGUCUGGUCCCUGUUCAACAC
Long non-coding RNA from Cebus imitator (Panamanian white-faced capuchin), 871 nucleotides. RefSeq lists it as uncharacterized. The record is from RefSeq and is a predicted model, not a curated record. NCBI's taxonomy places the organism in Eukaryota, Metazoa, Chordata, Mammalia, Primates, Cebidae. The transcript is spliced from 2 exons.